RNAcentral lists this ribosomal RNA (253 nucleotides) under uncultured bacterium. RNAcentral describes it as "partial 16S ribosomal RNA". It matches the Rfam family "Bacterial small subunit ribosomal RNA", at positions 524 to 776 of the family's 1533-position model. The record is from RNAcentral.
UACGUAGGGUGCAGGCGUUAAUCGGAAUUACUGGGCGUAAAGCGUGCGCAGGCGGUUUCUUAAGUCAGAUGUGAAAGCCCCGGGCUUAACCUGGGAACUGCGCUUGAAACUGGGAGACUUGAGUGUGGCAGAGGGGGGUGGAAUUCCACGUGUAGCAGUGAAAUGCGUAGAUAUGUGGAGGAACACCGGUGGCGAAGGCGGCAUCCUGGACCGGCAUUGACGCUGAGGCGCGAAAGCCAGGGGAGCAAACGGG